RNAcentral lists this ribosomal RNA (499 nucleotides) under uncultured Glomus. Its description in RNAcentral is "SSU rRNA". It matches the Rfam family "Eukaryotic small subunit ribosomal RNA", at positions 591 to 1092 of the family's 1831-position model. Lineage: Eukaryota; Fungi; Glomeromycota; Glomeromycetes; Glomerales; Glomeraceae. The record is from RNAcentral.
CCAAUAGCGUAUAUUAAAGUUGUUGCAGUUAAAAAGCUCGUAGUUGAAUUUCGGGAUCAAUAUGUCGGUCGUGCCUCGGUACGUACUGGCAUCAUUGGUUUCUCCCUUCUGAAGAACCAUGAUGUCAUUAAUUUGGUGUCGUGGGGAAUCAGGACUGUUACUUUGAAAAAAUUAGAGUGUUUAAAGCAGGCUUACGCUUGAAUACAUUAGCAUGGAAUAAUGAAAUAGGACGUUUGAUUCUAUUUUGUUGGUUUCUAGGAUCGACGUAAUGAUUAAUAGGGAUAGUUGGGGGCAUUAGUAUUCAAUUGUCAGAGGUGAAAUUCUUGGAUUUAUUGAAGACUAACUACUGCGAAAGCAUUUGCCAAGGAUGUUUUCAUUAAUCAAGAACGAAAGUUAGGGGAUCGAAGACGAUCAGAUACCGUCGUAGUCUUAACCAUAAACUAUGCCGACUAGGGAUCGGAUGAUGUUAAUUUUUUAAUGACUCAUUCGGCGCCUUACG